This 253-nucleotide ribosomal RNA is filed under the name uncultured bacterium. RNAcentral's name for it is "partial 16S ribosomal RNA". It matches the Rfam family "Bacterial small subunit ribosomal RNA", at positions 524 to 776 of the family's 1533-position model. The record is from RNAcentral.
UACGUAGGGUCCGAGCGUUGUCCGGAAUUAUUGGGCGUAAAGGGCUCGUAGGCGGUUUGUCGCGUCGGGAGUGAAAACACGGGGCUUAACCCCGUGCCUGCUUCCGAUACGGGCAGACUAGAGGUAUGCAGGGGAGAACGGAAUUCCCGGUGUAGUGGUGAAAUGCGUAGAGAUCAGCAGGAACACCCGUGGCAAAGGCGGCCCCCUGGGCCGAACCUGACGCUGAGGCGCGAAGGCUAGGGGAGCGAACGGG